GGGUGAGAGCUUGAACCACCUGCAACACCUGUCAUCCUGAUGACCGGCAGGGUUGAUCCAGCUGAUCUGGCUGCCUCACCCUUGUCUGCUUUCCCCUCACUGCUCCAUGUGUGUACCUGUCCCAGCCAUGGGCUUGGUCAACCAUGAUGACUUUCCCCACCAAACUUCAUCCUUCAGCCAAGGACAGAUGGAAGGCUGCACCCUCCAGUUAAGCUCUUGCAAUACUGCUAAGGUAAAUGAGUCUGUUUGUUCUU
This 254-nucleotide small nuclear RNA is filed under the name Octodon degus (degu). Its description in RNAcentral is "7SK RNA (ENSODEG00000022593.1)". It matches the Rfam family "7SK RNA". Rfam says of the family: 7SK was discovered as an abundant small nuclear RNA in the mid-70s but a possible function has only recently been suggested. Two independent studies have found that 7SK RNA binds the CDK9/cyclin T complex (known as elongation factor P-TEFb). Lineage: Eukaryota; Metazoa; Chordata; Mammalia; Rodentia; Octodontidae. The record is from Rfam by way of RNAcentral.